GUAUUUAUCAAUGUUAUUUUGUUAUUUUGUUAUAUUUGUUAUAUACAUAUAUUAUGUAAAAACCUAAUUCGUGUAAAUUUAGUAAGUUUAAGUUUUGAGAUGUACAAAGGUGAGGUUUUGUUAUUUGUGUCAGAUGUUUGGACUCCUUACUUAGUUUUUUCUACCAUACAAGGUAAAAUAUUUUGCCCCAUAAACCCCAUUUAUAUUUUCAUAUACACGAUAUAAGACUAUUUUCAUAUAAGACUUGAUGGCUCAUAAAAGGUAAUUUACCAAAAUUUAAGCAGAUUCCUGAUUUCUCUUUUUUUGAUUUGAGACCCAAAUAAGACCAAUUUUGCAAAUAUAAGGUAAAAGUUAGGGUCAGUCUUUUCCUGCCAUAUUUAAAAAAUCAAAUAUCUUGAAAAGGAGCUCCAUGACCUAUCAAUAUUUUUAGCUUGUUUUGUUCCUUAACUGAUUCUGGCUUGUAGCAUCAAUAUUAAAUCUUUUUUUUUUUAAUUUCACCUAAGUACAUCCUUAAAUCUGCUAAAGUUUUGCAUUCUUUUAGUUAGUUAGUAAAAAUUAAAUGUUUGAAUUGCAUUCCAUAUUUUUGGUACAUUGUCUCGUAAAGUUUGCACUAAGUGCAAUAAAAUCCCCAUAAUCACUGAUGGAUUACAUACUGCACUUGUCUCAAAACAGAAAUUUACUGUAUAAAACAUUGGGAAAUAUACUAUAUUUGUACACAUAUUUCGAUAUUAAUCAGUAAACCAGAAUAGUUAACAUUCAUUCAAGUAGUAAGGGAAUAAAAAGAAAAAGCAAAAUCUCCUUCCUUGUGCAAUAUGUCAACAGUGUUGCAUCAUCGUAUCCAGACAUUUUCAUAAAAAUCUGGUAUAUAUAUGUUUUUGGUUUGUAUAAUUCUAGCAAUUUUUGCAAGUACUAACAGCAUGGUACUGAGGUGUAUAUGCUUAGUGUAAAGAUUGUUGCCAAUCUUUAAUUUAAAACAAUAUCUUUGGUUUCUGGAUAUUAAUAAUGACUAAGGCCAAAUAAAAAUAUAUGUGUGGUUCCAGUAACCCUACCGUCCCUACUUUUUCGGCUUGAAAAUAGCCUACCCUAAAGAUUUUAUUGUCAUUUUUCAUUAAUCACUGUUAAAGUCAGAAUGUUGCUCCCAUAGACUCAAUGUAAAAAAAAAACAUAAAAUAAAAAAAAAUCCCUGCCUACCUACCCUAACUUAUUUUCAGAUGUAACUGGAACCACACAUACUUUUUUAUUUGGCCUAAACAACUUUUAAAAGUAUCAGAGAUUAUUAUUGUCAAUAAUAAUAAAUACAUGUUAAAGAAAUACAAUAUGUUAAAACGUUUGAAUGUGUUUUUCGUGUAUGCGUUAUUACCUCUUGGAUUCUUUCAAGCUCAGUUCAAAAUCCUUUCGUUAUAAGAAAAGUCCGGUUUUUAUAGUUCUUAGCAUGUCUUAUCCUUGCGUGUAAGA
RNAcentral lists this long non-coding RNA (1455 nucleotides) under Mytilus galloprovincialis (Mediterranean mussel). Lineage: Eukaryota; Metazoa; Mollusca; Bivalvia; Mytilida; Mytilidae. The record is from RNAcentral.